Long non-coding RNA from Sebastes umbrosus (honeycomb rockfish), 1380 nucleotides. RefSeq lists it as uncharacterized. The transcript is spliced from 2 exons. The record is from RefSeq and is a predicted model, not a curated record. NCBI's taxonomy places the organism in Eukaryota, Metazoa, Chordata, Actinopteri, Perciformes, Sebastidae.
CAUACUUGGCUGGUUUUGUUAUUCAUUGUCAUCAACUUCUGUAAAAAAAAAGAAAGUCAAAUGCUGCUUCCCUCGGUGCUCCUUUGCAGAUUAUUUAUUAAAUACCUGAAUCAAAACAAUGUUUUUCUGUAUGAUGCACAUUUUUGUGUUGACGGGGCCAUCCUCUGUUGUCUUGGGCUCCUGUAACGGCAAAGAGAGUUCUUCAUUACGCAUGGAAAAGUCCAGCUGGAUUGUUAAACCUGUAUGUUGAUCUAGCACACAGAGGAAUAACAGGGUGCAGUGUGUCUGUACGGAGUGGUUAAGGAUGUUAGAAGACGUUUAGGUGGAAUCUGUAGUGAUACAUCUUUGUUGACUUACAAACAAUCAGUCAUUUGAAAAGACAUUGGAAAUCUCUACUGUCUCUAAACAAUGUUAGAGACAGUAGUGGUUAAAAAAGACAAACGAGGAGACGACGUAAGUGACGUAUAAUCACCAAAAUGUGAAUUGAAGCCACUACGAGUAACUUGAUUUUGGCGGUCCCUGUGGACAAAAGCAGUAGUGUUUCCGAACACCAAAGUCCCUUUAGAAAACCUCUAAUUGUACUGCUGCUGGGUCUGACAGUCUGCCCCGUGAAGUCCUGGUUCUGGAUCUCCCGUGCCUCUCUUCCCUCCAGCAGGCCCAUUAAUACAGCCCGGGUCUCGAGCAGCGUGGUGUCUUUUGGCUUCCAGCGGGGACUGUCGGAGUAGCGAGGCGAUGCUCUGAGCCUGGCUGGAGGAGGAGAGUCGCUGCUGCAGGGCCCAGAGCUCCGUCUGCAGGUCUGGGUCUGUCCGUGGAGGGCUGGUCACUGCUGAAGGCCCUGCUGGAGUCUGAGCUGAAGGAGUUUUCUUCAAGGAGAAUAGCACUGCCAGCGUAGCGAUGGGAAAUGAUGGAUCAGAAAAGGGCACCGUGAAGGAGGUGGAGGAGCAAGAAUGCUAAGAAGAUAAUAAAAUAAUAUAAAAAUAAAGAGAGACACUGUCAAAGACUGAGUGAGAUAAGUCUGGAAAAAGGAUUAAGAGGAGUGGGGGGAGGAGGGUUGGGGGAGGGGUAUUCGAGGGAAAGCAAAAGAGAUAUGACGUGCCUGAGUCAGCUUCAGAGGACCAGCUAGACCAGAUGGGGAGCAGAAUAGAAAUGGAGAUGAAAGAGAUCGUCUCUGAUACCGAUAGACAGAGGAGAUGAAAGAAAAUUGUGCCUGGCAUUUGAUAAGCCUCAUUUAUAUCCCUGGCAAUUCAGUCCUACUUUCAGCUCUUCCAAUUACGAGAAGGAGUCAACCUGUUACAGGCUUAUCGACCGGCUCCACACCUGUCUCGCGGGUCUAAACCCAGUUAAACACGAGGGGUUUGUUCUGCAGUGUUCCCCCCCCCC